RNAcentral lists this unclassified non-coding RNA (348 nucleotides) under soil metagenome. Its description in RNAcentral is "partial contains 5.8S ribosomal RNA, internal transcribed spacer 2, and large subunit ribosomal RNA". The stretch from base 1 to 120 matches the Rfam family "5.8S ribosomal RNA", at positions 35 to 154 of the family's 154-position model. The record is from RNAcentral.
GAUGAAGAACGUAGCGAAAUGCGAUAAGUAAUGUGAAUUGCAGAAUUCAGUGAAUCAUCGAAUCUUUGAACGCACAUUGCGCCCGCCAGUAUUCUCGCGGGCAUGCCUGUCUGAGCGUCAUUUCAACCCUCAUGCCCCUAGGGCGUGGUGUUGGGGAUCGGCCAAAGCCCGCGAGGGACGGCCGGCCCCUAAAUCUAGUGGCGGACCCGUCGUGGCCUCCUCUGCGAAGUAGUGAUAUUCCGCAUCGGAGAGCGAUGAGCCCCUGCCGUUAAACCCCCAACUUUCCAAGGUUGACCUCAGAUCAGGUAGGAAUACCCGCUGAACUUAAGCAUAUCAAUAAGCGGAGGA